This 24-nucleotide non-coding RNA is filed under the name Arabidopsis thaliana (thale cress). Lineage: Eukaryota; Viridiplantae; Streptophyta; Magnoliopsida; Brassicales; Brassicaceae. The record is from RNAcentral.
AGGUCCGUUGGUGUGAUUCAACAU